Molecule: long non-coding RNA, 212 nt
Filed under: Vigna radiata
Lineage: Eukaryota; Viridiplantae; Streptophyta; Magnoliopsida; Fabales; Fabaceae
Description: long non-coding RNA (VRAD_LNC008893)
Source: RNAcentral
CACUACUUACACAUAGGACACAAGUGUCUACCACAUGUUUAAUUUUAUUAUUUUGAAUUAAAAUUAAAUAAUUUAUAAUUUAAUGCAAUACCUUUUUUAUUUAAUUAUUUUGUUUGCUAGGGUUUCAUUUCCAUCAUCUCUUCACUUUGCCUCCACCAAGGCCCUAUUGCACUUCAUCGAAUCACUAGCAACAACGUAGGCCACUAAGGAGG